UAGCUGUUCGUACAUGUCCUAGGCUUACUAGCAAUUUACUCAGCAGAUCAGGCGGAUGGUCACCCAAAGUUCUAUGAAAGUUUUCGCUAGACGUGACUACAAUUUAGCGAACGACACAUGAAAGAUGAAACGUCUUUUUCUUAAAAAUUAAAUGUUUGAGACUUGAGAGUGCGUGAAAAUACUAGAAAUCAUCGAUAAAACCUACAAGGAAGCCAACCAACAACGGACAUUCUACUAUUUUGGCAGGAAAAGAAACUUCUCUUAAACGCUUACACUCCAAGUGGCGGCGUUGUUGAUGAAAAAGUACAUCGCGGGAAUCCCAAAAAGAAAUGCACAGACCAUGUGAAAUAUCGCGUGACACAAGAUCUUCUCGCCAUGCCACACUUUCAUGAAGAUGUAGAAAGUGAAAUACAAAAACAGAUUAGUGACGAGGAUUCCCAACAUGUAGGAAGCGAAAUCUGGAGGCCGGUACACCAAUCCAUACAUCGCCCAACCAAUAUUGGCGAUGAAGCUGUGCGCUUGCCUGUACAUUCAUAAUCGUCAGCCUUGACGACGAAAACAACGAAGAAUCCAUCGGGGAAUCGUUCUCGCUGAACAGAAUACAAACACCGAGGCGGGGACGAGAUUCAUAAAUUGGCCGCGCUGCUUCCCCAUAUCCGGUUCUCACAGUUUGGCACAUCUGCAUUCUGCAAAACUCGGCCAGUAUCAGUAAACCUCAAAGGCUCAAACACAAUAUGGCGUUUAAUUAAAGUAUG
RNAcentral lists this long non-coding RNA (755 nucleotides) under Daphnia pulex (common water flea). Its description in RNAcentral is "uncharacterized LOC124195884, transcript variant X2". The record is from RNAcentral. Lineage: Eukaryota; Metazoa; Arthropoda; Branchiopoda; Diplostraca; Daphniidae.